GAAAAACAGAAAGAGAGAGAAUAUAUGUUUGUAUGAAGUGACUUAAUUAUAUCCUUAAUUAAAAACAUGAUAAAGAAUACUAAAUCUUGAUUACUGCUUGGAUAAACCAAAGGAGAUAUAUUCAUAGAUCGAUGCUUAAUCUUUCCUAUGCAUUGGGUUUUCUUUGGAAAAACAUGACAAUGGAGAAAGGCAACAGGAAGAGAGGAAAAGAGCUAGCCUUUGGUACAUUGUUAAAUGUUAACUCUGUGUGUGUGUGUGUGUGUGUGUGUGUGUGUGUGUGUGUGUGUGUGUGUGUUUACUGCCUGAUGCAGACCUGAGGGGUUUAAUUUCAUUCUAUGUGGUGUAGAGCCUUUUCAAUUCUGCACCAUGGAGGUGUGUUAACUACUCAGGAAUGAAUUCAGGUUAGUGGGGUACCUCAGGAAUAGAGCGUUUGUCACCAUGUAGAGACUCUGGGUUCAAUCCACUACACGCUAGGGGAUGGAGCACGUGAAUAGAAUUAAGGCAGUAAAACCUUGUAUGUGCGAGACCCACCACGGACUGAUUGUAUGACUUUUGGAAUUUAAAGUGUACUCUUAUUUUAAUAUGGCAGCAGACCAAGCCGUCUCUGUUAAAGUGAUUGUUCUCAGAUAUCGCCUGUUUAUUUUGUUUUGCAGUCCUUGGUGCCUUGUGGAUUGAAGUCAAAAGAGAGAAAACAAAACUGUACAAAGGCUGUCAGGCCUGACCCUUGGGGAAAGGCUUAAAGUUCUACUUAGCGUUCUGAUUUUGCUUUUCAAUUGUGUCUCUUCUUGUGUAAGGGCUGGAAAGGACCCUGGAGACCACAGAACACAGACCCAUGGUGGAGACAUUUCCAUUAAUCUUGUAAAGUGAUCAGUCACUGGAAGGAUUGAAUUGCAUUUCCUGCCCAAAGAUGUGGAGACAGAUGACCUUUGCAGCAGCCCUCAGACCCCCGGUUCACAGCUGGAGAGAGGAUGUGUCAGCAUUUGCCUUCCAGUCUCACCCAGCCCUUUGUUCAGAGCUCGAACCCUUUGUGCUCAGGCUGCAGCAGGGGGAUUUUGUAAUUGUUGAUGCAGAUUUUUUUUUUUCCCUAACCUCCCACUUCUUAACAGCUUCUGAGAAACAAACUCUUAUUUGGCAGAAGAUGGUAUCUAA
This 1149-nucleotide small RNA is filed under the name Rattus norvegicus (Norway rat). RNAcentral describes it as "locus regulating alcohol preference (Lrap)". The record is from RNAcentral. Lineage: Eukaryota; Metazoa; Chordata; Mammalia; Rodentia; Muridae.